AAUGAACGCUGGCGGCGUGCCUAAUACAUGCAAGUCGAGCGAAUGAUGAGGAGCUUGCUCCUCUGAUUUAGCGGCGGACGGGUGAGUAACACGUGGGUAAUCUGCCUGUAAGACGGGGAUAACUCCGGGAAACCGGGGCUAAUACCGGAUAAUAAAAAGAAACGCAUGUUUCUUUUUUGAAAGUCGGUUUCGGCUGACACUUACAGAUGAGCCCGCGGCGCAUUAGCUAGUUGGUGAGGUAACGGCUCACCAAGGCGACGAUGCGUAGCCGACCUAAGAGGGUGAUGGGCCACACUGGGACUGAGACACGGCCCAGACUCCGACGGGAGGCAGCAGUAGGGAAUCUUCGGCAAUGGGCGAAAGCCUGACCGAGCAACGCCGCGUGAGCGAUGAAGGCCUUCGGGUCGUAAAGCUCUGUUGUUAGAGAAGAACAAGUACGAGAGUAACUGCUCGUACCUUGACGGUACCUAACCAGAAAGCCACGGCUAACUACGUGCCAGCCGCCGCCGUAA
RNAcentral lists this ribosomal RNA (512 nucleotides) under uncultured bacterium. Its description in RNAcentral is "partial 16S ribosomal RNA". It matches the Rfam family "Bacterial small subunit ribosomal RNA", at positions 29 to 523 of the family's 1533-position model. The record is from RNAcentral.